This is a long non-coding RNA of Gallus gallus (chicken), 1468 nucleotides long. Lineage: Eukaryota; Metazoa; Chordata; Aves; Galliformes; Phasianidae. The record is from Ensembl.
GAAGCAGCUUAGAAAACAAGGUUUUAUUGGCUGCUCUGUUCAGGCUGGAGGAAGGGGAGACAGACCAUCAGCUCAUGUUCAAUUCCAGUAUUGUUCAUCUAACAGCCUUACAGCAAGUCAGUGACAUGCACCUGCCCUGAGUUGCACACUGAAACCCUGUGUGGACAUGAGGACACUACACGAAGCAUGGUGUUAUCUCAGUGCUGCCCUGUGGCCCGUCAGGUAGUGGUGACUCAGGAGCCAGAGAACGGGACAUUGCCGAGGGGUAAGGUGGCACAGACUAAAUACCAGUGAGAAGAGAAAGAAGUAUGUUUGCAAAAGAAGAAAGGAUCUGUCUUUUCCUGAUACUUACCUAGGAUGAGGACCUUCUGAUCUUGCUGCAUGGCUUCUUCUGUUUUUUUUUUUUCUAUACAGUGUCUUUACAGUUUGCUCAGUAAAGCACUGUAACCUGGCUUCUUCUCAUGCACCGAAGUGAGCACAUACAAAUCAUUAGAGCAUAAUAUACUUACUGAUUAGGUAAUAACAUGGCAAGGCAAGUAAAAGAUUUUAUGACAAAUUUAAAUAGCAGUGGAAUAAAGUUCAAGGGACUGGGGAUUAAGAAAAGGGAUUUCAUCUGUUUGAAGUAGAUAGUGGUCAUUAAACUGUCCCCUGGGAGAUUUGCUCAGCCUUGAAUAGUAGGAGCAUGUUUGUGCAUGCAUGAAUAGCCAUACCUUCUUUGUCUUAAUCAUAUGUGAUCUCAAGCAGUUGCUAAAUUGUGCCUCCCUCUUGUGCCUGCCUCCCACCCCCUUAUUUCACUAGAUUAUUUGUUCUGCUUAUGGGCUUAUAAGUGGGAAAUAUAACUUAAUUGACAGAGUAUGCUAUAUUUAACAUAGCAACAUACUGAAACACAAUCAUACAGGGAAAAACAAUGAGAACCAACUCAUCAGUAAGGUUCAUUGCUGCCAGCCACAUCCAUUCUUUUUUCCUUUCUUUGUGUUUCCUACAGUGACUACGGUUAUAAGGAGGUGAAGGGAAAACUGUUCCAUAAUAAACACUGUAUAGAUGCUUUGUGCAUAAGACCAUGUCUCCCCAGUUCUGUAAAUUUGAAGCAUCCAAGUUUGUACAUCUGGUUGUGCUCAUUAGAAUGCUCCAGCAAAAACUCUUACUGGAACCACACUGAUAACUCCCAGUGCAAUUAAAAAAAAAAAAAGUGUUGCUUCAUUCCUUGAGUGCAUCUUUUCUAAGCCAUGCAAUUUUUUGCAAGUGCACUGGGAUUUAUUUUGAAGCACAUCUUGACUUUUAAUAAAUUUAUUAAAGUGCUUUAAAACAUAUCAUAGCUAAUUUUUUAUCUCCCACAAAUCCAUCACUUUGUGUUACUUGUAACUAAUCUUUUUCCAUAUGAGAGAGAAAAUAGCUCAAAUAUCUCAAUGGCAUGUUUUCCUUUUAAUUUUCCAGGUAGUCCAUGUUUAAGGCAAAAUAAAUAAAUAAA